Pezoporus occidentalis (night parrot) is the source of this 1904-nucleotide long non-coding RNA. RefSeq lists it as uncharacterized. NCBI's taxonomy places the organism in Eukaryota, Metazoa, Chordata, Aves, Psittaciformes, Psittacidae. The transcript is spliced from 2 exons. The record is from RefSeq and is a predicted model, not a curated record.
GGAUCAGGCUGAUACAACUAGUUUAUGCAGACUGGACUAAGAAGAAGCUUAUGUUGCAAAACUGAGUGUGUUUAUACUGAGCGGAGUCCAUAUUCUGUUUUCUUUCUUUUUUCAGUCCUUCAGUUAGGUCCUGUAUCUUUUUGAUGUCAUCUGUCCUGUGCUGAUAAGCACCUUCUAGACAGGAGCCUAACAUUUAGAAAUAAUUCCUUUUCCUUUCCUAUUCUUUUUGUGGCCUCUGGCCACUAUUAGUUGUUUUUUGUUUUAUUUUUACAGCUUCCCAAUUAUGCCAAGUAUUAUAAGUCCAUUAAAGUACUUAAUUAUUGAUUAAACACUUGAUUAUUGAAGCUAAUAUACAUGCACUUAAAGUUAAGUGUCUAAACUAACACAACACACUAAGAUGGAAAUAUAUGGAUAUAUAGAUGUAUAUACAUAUGUAUGUUAAAAAUUUCCCUCAAGUGCAGUGAAAAGCAGUAUCACUAAUAAUAGACUCACGUCAGCUUUCUGAGCACUCCUUAAGGGGCAAAGGUUUGAGUACCAAUGAGCAACAGGCAGAUAAUCCCUCUAUUUCAUAAACUUUGAGGGUUUACAGGUUCUGGGAGGGUCCCAGUCAGAGGGAGACAACUGGGUCGCAGCCUGCUGUGGUCCAGGAGAGCUCAAAGGGGCUCUCUAUUGGGAUCAUUGUUCAUAGGGUGUUAAGAUGAUUGGCCUGAGUCAUGUAAAUUUUCAUCCUGGUAUCUGGUAUUUGUCAGGAAUGAUUUGCCAUUUCAAAAGAGCUCCUGAUGUGCUAAGGAAGUAUCCAGGCAUUCCUGUUACCUGCAUGGUCCUUCUUUCCUUCGUUGAGGGAUUGGAGUCAAUGGUCAAGGAGUGCCCAGCUAUCCAACUUCAUGCAUUUAUGCAAAGGCUAACAGGAAUUCUUUGGGAAGCAGAUGGGUCCAGGAGAGAGUGGGGGGACACACCACCACAGUUAUCUCCUGCUGUCACUUGAGCUUCUGCAAGCCUCUUGUUCCAGUGCAAGGUGGUCCAGUAGGAUGUCUGAUAUGACCCAGGAAGCUGAUUCCCAGUGAUCUUCCUCAGCAUAAGGAGAGAACAACACACACGUGGCAGGUCCCAACUACAUCAGUUACUGCACAUCCGAAAUGUGUCCAGAUACUAGAAUAAUAUCUGUAAGAUAGCAAAAAAUACCUAAAAUACAAAAAAUACAAGUAAUUUGGCACAUUUGGAAAGCUCUGUCCUACAAUUCUUUCUCCUGCUUCUCUUGUUGCUAAUGAAACAGCUGCUCUUUGGUUUCAGGCUUUAACCUAUAUUUAGAUUCCUUUUAUGCUGUUCGCCCUUUGAAGUGCAUGAACUGCUGUGAAAGAAAGGCAGUGUCAUUGCUGGGAGGCAAGAGGAAGGCCUGUAGGUGAAGUCAUGCCUGGCAGACCUUUAUCCUCAGUGCUGCAGCCAUCACUGCCUUGAGGCAGUAGGAGAGGACUUCUGCUUGUUCUGCAUCUCAGCGCUGCCACACGGCUUCACCACAGUGGAGUCAUGUCCAGACUGUACCUGCUGAAUCCAGCUGAAGACAAGGAGAUCUUGGCACAGCAGGGUUUUGUUUUCUUUCUGUGGGUGAAAAUCUGGUUUGGAUUCUGUACUACAGAGAAGAUCUGGCACCGCGGUGUGUGUCUGUGAGCUGUGACAGCAGCUGCCACUUCAACACAACUUGGUUACUUACAUAUGGGGAGUGUUGUAGUCAAGAGGAAUUAUCCAUAGUCUGUAACAUUCCUGAUGUUCUGUUGGCUUUGUGUAGGUUCCUACACUGUUGAAAGUGCAUUUUAAAUUGAUUUUUUCAGGACCUGUGUGUGUGAAGUAUUACACAGACUGCAAAUGCCUACCAUGAUUUCCCCUGUUUAGAAUAAAAACAUCUAUGA